RNAcentral lists this long non-coding RNA (462 nucleotides) under Homo sapiens (human). RNAcentral's name for it is "non-protein coding lnc-PPP1R14D-1:18". The record is from RNAcentral. Lineage: Eukaryota; Metazoa; Chordata; Mammalia; Primates; Hominidae.
AGAGAGAACCAGCUUGGUCAGUGUGAGCUGUUUUUAACUCUUCCAGACCCCUGGCCACUCUGCUAGACCCCAUACUUCUGUGCUGUGAUUUUUCUCAAUGGAAAUUGACUCGGGGGCGUGGGCAUGGAGGGAGGGGGCAGAGUUACUGUAUGAUCUCGUCGUGAUUGAGACUUUGGGGAGGCAGCCAGAGCUGGGGUGGGCCGAGGCCACAUGGAAACUGAACAGACCAGCAGUCUGGUCAUUCAACCCUUGUGUCUAGACCUGGAGGCCCGGGAGCGGCAGGCCCAGGCCCAGGAGAGUGAGGAGGAAGAGGAGAGCCGGAGCACCAGGACACUAGAGCAAGAGAUCGAACGCCUGAGAGAAGAGGGUUCCCGGCAGCUGGAGGAACAGCAGAGGCUCAUCCGGGAGCAGAUACGCCAGGAGCGUGACCAGAGGUUGAGAGGAAAGGCAGAAAAUACUGAA